ACGGUUCCGGUUCACGGCCUUGACACACGAGGUCGACCCGGCGGCC
RNAcentral lists this non-coding RNA (46 nucleotides) under unclassified sequences. Its description in RNAcentral is "L31-Actinobacteria ribosomal protein leader". It matches the Rfam family "L31-Actinobacteria ribosomal protein leader". The record is from RNAcentral.